ACAUGACCACCUAGAACUAGAACACUCUAACGCGUGCCUCCUUUGCCCGCAAAAGCAUCGAGGGUUUUCUCAUACCUUCCUCAGCAAACCGCCAGAAGAAGAAAGACUCUCUCUCUCUCUCUCUCUCUCUCUCUCUCUCUGUAGCGAUGCACGCUCCAGUACUCGUUCUCAAAGAUUCUUUGACAAGGGAAUCUGGAAGCAAGGUGCACCAUGCCAAUAUCCAAGCAUCAAAGGCUGUGGCUGACAUUAUCCGUACUACUUUGGGUCCUCGAUCCAUGUUGAAGAUGCUACUUGAUGCUGCAGGAGGAAUUGUUGUCACUAACGAUGGUAAUGCCAUACUACGUGAGUUGGAUAUUGGCCAUCCAGCUGCUAAGUCCAUGAUUGAACUUAGCCGCACACAAGAUGAAGAAGUAGGGGAUGGAACAACAUCUGUCAUUGUUCUUGCUGGUGAGUUGCUGCAUGUGGCGGAGGCCUUUAUUAACAAGAAAUAUCAUCCUACUGUCAUUUGCCGAGCCUACAAUAAAGCACUUGAGGAUUCGAUUGCUGUGCUUGACAAGAUAGCUAUGUCCAUUGAUGUGAAUGAUCGUGCUACAAUGCUGGGCUUAGUUAAAAGUUGUAUUGGCACAAAGUUUACAAGUCAAUUUGGGAACCUAAUUGCUGAUCUAGCACUUGAUGCUACCACAAUGGUUGGUGUGGACCUUGGUCAAGGCUUGCGUGAUGUGGAUAUAAAGAAAUACAUAAAAGUUGAGAAGGUUCCUGGAGGCCAGUUGGAAGACUCUAAAGUUCUUAAAGGAGUUUUGAUUAACAAAGACAUUGUUGCCCCUGGAAAAAUGAGAAGGAAGAUUACGAACCCACGAAUUAUUCUUCUUGAUUGCCCUCUUGAAUAUAAGAAAGGAGAGAAUCAAACAAAUGCAGAGUUGGUUAAAGAAGAAGACUGGGGUGUCCUUCUGAAGAUGGAGGAGGAAUACAUCGAGGGCCUCUGCAUGCAGAUACUGAAGUUCAAACCAGACUUGGUAAUCACCGAAAAAGGGCUUAGUGAUCUGGCAUGCCAUUAUUUGAGUAAGGCUGGUGUCAGUGCAAUAAGGAGGUUGAGGAAGACUGACAACAACAGGGUUGCCAAGGCUUGUGGAGCAGUUGUCGUCAAUAGACCAGAGGAGCUCCAAGAAUCUGAUAUCGGAACUGGAGCAGGACUUUUUGAAGUUAAGAAAAUUGGUGAUGAGUUCUUUGCAUUUAUUGUUGAUUGCAAAGACCCAAAAGCAUGCACCGUUCUUUUAAGAGGCGCUAGUAAGGAUCUUUUGAAUGAAGUAGAAAGAAACUUGCAGGAUGCUAUGUCUGUGGCGCGGAACAUUAUAAAAAAUCCUAAGCUUGUUCCUGGCGGUGGUGCUACGGAGUUGACUGUAUCAGCAACAUUGAAGCAAAAUAGUUCAUCCAUUGAAGGUGUUGAAAAGUGGCCCUAUGAAGCUGCUGCUGUAGCUUUCGAAGCAAUCCCAUGCACCUUGGCACAAAACCGUGGGGUGAAUGUGAUUCGAACAAUGACUGCCCUGCAAGGAAAGCAUGCAAAUGGUGAGAAUGCGUGGAUUGGCAUAGACGGAAACACUGGUGCAAUCACCGAUAUGAAAGAGCGGAAGAUUUGGGAUGCUUACAAUGUGAAGGCACAGACGUUCAAGACGGCGAUUGAGGCUGCAUGCAUGCUUCUGAGGAUCGAUGAUAUUGUGAGCGGGAUCAAGAAGAAGCAGGCUCCUGGGGCCGGUCCCACUCCAAAGAAACCUCAAGUCGAGGAAGAAGGAGAUGCAGAUAAUGAGCAAAUGAUUCCAGAGUAGUACCAUUGGGAAAAUUUUGAAAACUUUGGUUCUUCAGUCAAUAAAAGGAUUCUGCACGAGUCUAAUGCGUGUUAUUUGUCAUCAAUCUGGAGGCCAAUCAAUCUUUUUUGAUUGAGGCUGGCAGCCAUAUGUUUGUGCUUGUGCUGGGGAAAACAUGUUGGAUCGCAUAUUAGCAGACCUGUUUAGCAGUGUUUGGUUGUCUUGCAGAUGAGCCGGGAUUGAUUUAUGCCAAAAACCAUUAUUCCUCUCAUUUCAACUCCUAGAUUAGGUAAUUUCUUUUCAACGGUUGGAUAGUGACUAUCAUGAUAUUAGAGCACAAUUUGUGAAUGUUCAUUUAGUGGGCCUCAUCCUGCAUUGAACAUU
Magnolia sinica is the source of this 2183-nucleotide RNA transcript. It is a transcript of the gene named T-complex protein 1 subunit gamma-like, with no coding region annotated. The transcript has 15 exons. NCBI's taxonomy places the organism in Eukaryota, Viridiplantae, Streptophyta, Magnoliopsida, Magnoliales, Magnoliaceae. The record is from RefSeq and is a predicted model, not a curated record.